Esox lucius (northern pike) is the source of this 260-nucleotide long non-coding RNA. RefSeq lists it as uncharacterized. Lineage: Eukaryota; Metazoa; Chordata; Actinopteri; Esociformes; Esocidae. The transcript has 3 exons. The record is from RefSeq and is a predicted model, not a curated record.
UGAAAACCAAGCUCUUUAGGGCGGAGAACCAAGCUCUUGAGGGAGGAGAACCAAGCCCUGAGGGAAGGCAAUGCACGAGCAGCUUCGGAUGACAGCGGCUCUCUUCAAGAGCAGGACAAUGCUGAAGACGUUUGCUCGAACUGGGCAAUCAGGAGCAUCUGACCGUGAAGGCGGAAAAAGGAGCCGCACAGCUGAGAGGGACCCACAGCCGACCCCUUAAACCUAUGCUGACUACUGACACCCCAGCAUCACUGACAACU